UCUCCGUAGGUGAACCUGCGGAGGGAUCAUUACAGAGUUCAUGCCCUACCGGGUAGAUCUCCCACUCUAUGUUAUUAUUACUUUGUUGCUUUGGCGGGCCGUUAGGCUCCGGCCCGACUACCGGCCCCGGCUGGUAAGCGUCCGCCAGAGGACCCAAAACCCUGAAUAUUAGUGUCGUCUGAGUACUAUAUAAUAGUUAAAACUUUCAACAACGGAUCUCUUGGUUCUG
This 229-nucleotide unclassified non-coding RNA is filed under the name plant metagenome. RNAcentral's name for it is "partial contains small subunit ribosomal RNA, internal transcribed spacer 1, and 5.8S ribosomal RNA". The record is from RNAcentral.